Molecule: ribosomal RNA, 494 nt
Filed under: uncultured bacterium
Lineage: Bacteria
Description: partial 16S ribosomal RNA
Rfam family: Bacterial small subunit ribosomal RNA
Source: RNAcentral
GACGAACGCUGGCGGCGUGCUUAACACAUGCAAGUCGAACGGUGAAGCGCCUUCCUUUUUGGUGGGUGUGGAUGAGUGGCGAACGGGUGAGUAAUACGUGAGUAACCUGCCCCCUUCUUCUGGAUAACCGCAUGAAAGUGUGGCUAAUACGGGAUAUUCUGGGUCUGUCGCAUGAUGGGUCUGGGAAAGAUAUUGUUUCGGUGGGGGAUGGGCUCGCGGCCUAUCAGCUUGUUGGUGGGGUGAUGGCCUACCAAGGCGAUGACGGGUAGCCGGCCUGAGAGGGUGGACGGUCACACUGGGACUGAGACACGGCCCAGACUCCUACGGGAGGCAGCAGUGGGGAAUAUUGCACAAUGGGCGCAAGCCUGAUGCAGCGACGCCGCGUGAGGGAUGGAGGCCUUCGGGUUGUGAACCUCUUUCGCCAGUGAAGCAGGCCUGCCUCGUUUGUGGGUGGGUUGACGGUAGCUGGAUAAGAAGCGCCGGCUAACUACGUG